Long non-coding RNA from Anopheles funestus (African malaria mosquito), 2305 nucleotides. RefSeq lists it as uncharacterized. Lineage: Eukaryota; Metazoa; Arthropoda; Insecta; Diptera; Culicidae. The transcript has 2 exons. The record is from RefSeq and is a predicted model, not a curated record.
UAACUAGCUGGAAACUCAAGCGAUCUUCGUGUUGAUACCGUUCGGGUGAGAAUAUUGAUAUCCGCAAUAUUGAUCAUAAACUUUCCCUGUUAAGUUCGUUCAUAAAACGUUACCAAUAACCUUCACCAAGCUUUAGCUGUAGCGUGUUUAGUUCAUAUAAAACUGAACAAACCGGUGAAGUCUUCGAAAUACGAAGAGAGUUUACAACGGUGAUGGAAGUUCCUUGCGAGAAGCAACCACACGUCCACUAUCAGCUGUAAAACUAAUCGUAAAGCAGUUAAACUUUUCAACCCGAAGCCAAAAAACCGGAGUCCAUUUAUUACACACAAAUACUUAAACGAUCAUACACAUAAAGAUCACUCUAAAUAUGAUUUUGGUGGGGUAAAACUGGUUCGCUAAAAUGGCGGCUAAAAUCUGUCCGAAAACCACACACUCAUUUCGCUACUGUCCGUUUCGCCAUUCAUCGGAACAGAAGCAACAAAAAGGGUAACUUUACACAGUUUCAAUUUAUUUCUCCCUUGGGAGGUGGUUUUGGUUUCGAAACCUAUUUUACUUCCUCACGUUUUUUGUUGUUGUUUGCCGCAUCCAUGACUCAGUGGCUCAGUGGUCACGCUUUUUACGGUAGUUGUGCAUGAAUAGCUUGUUCCGUGGUGUUUUGCAGUUCCAGUUCUGCUUCGAUUGACGGACCUGUAAAGAAAUCCACCGAUAUUCCGGUGAGACGUUUUUUUUCUUCUAAAGAGUCCGUGUUACUUCCACUGGCACGUAACGUUGGUUCAGGUAAAAGCAUCACGAAAUAUUCGGUUUUUUUUUGGUGCUAAUAGGUGAGUUCUAAUGACAAACUACUCCGUUACCAACAGGUUAACAUGCUUGUAAAUCACGCACUCUGCUAGUUGUGUGUCUCCUUUUUGGUUUCAUCCGUUGGUCUUACUGAGCAAAACGCACCAUAAAAUGUGAUAAGCAAAGAUCAUGAGCAAUCAAGUGAAUCAUCCUUUUAUGGUAAUAGCUUUCUGUAGAAACAGAAAGACUCUCGACAAAUUGUGAAGUGCCGUCUGGUUCUUUUUAUGUGAAUCAACACCAUGCCAAGUCUUUUAGUAAUUUAAACACUUUAAGAAAAUAUUGGUUUUUCCAAUCUUGAUUGUAUCUCUACCUCACUGGGUUAGGUCAAGUAAAAAGAAAUCAAGUACCGACAAGUAUAUCUCUACAAACUUCAGUCAGUUUUUGAUCUAUAGUGUUAUUUCCCGAGGAUCACCCGGUGAUGCAUCAUAGACUAAAGGCAUCUUCGUGAGCGGACGCUACGAUACGCUACAAAUUAACCCGACCACUAAAAUCUAAACAAACUUCAUCCGAUCAACCACAAAAGAAGUGUGAUAGAAACAAUCAUUCUUCCCCAUGUGUCGUACAAUAGCAGUCCUCGUCAUCCGUUUACCGAUUAGUGUUGUGCCGGUUUUAAGGCGAUAUUUUAUCACACAUUUUUCUUCAUUCUGGCUUUGAGUGCGUACUUCUAAAUGAAAAAUAAAACCCAAACAUACUUCGUUUCGUUCACCAUUCUUAACACUCUCUCUUUACCGAAACGGUGACCUCCUGCAGCGCUAAUCAACCUCAGCGAUCGUUCGGUAAGUGUGCUAGUUUCGUCAUCUGGCGUUUCGACUUGUGCAGCAAACGAACAACGCGAAGGAAAACCACCAUCCCAGACUGGGGGGAAAAAUGGAGAGACAAAACUGAUAUUAUAAAUAUCCAACAAACCCAACCACAUCCCGGUUCGGCCCGGUGACAGCUGCAGUGCAUCUUCCUUGUUCGUUGGCGAUUGAGAAGAACAUGGUUUCAUCCUGCAGUGCAUUCUUAAGCAAUUUGGUUUACUGCUACCGAACGAUGCAACAAGAAAAUUGCGAUGAUUAAGAAAAUGCCAACAUGGGAGUAAAAGGGAGUAAAAUUAAAUCAUAAACAUUCAUCAGUGUGAAAUAAAUGUUUCUGUUUCUCCACUAACUCUGUUUGUUUAUAUUUUGAUUCAUUCAACGGUUUAAAUAGUGAAACCACUUAAAAACUGAUUUUCCAUUUUUUGAUACAAAACAAAGUUAAAAAUUCCCCCAAAUGAUUCAUAACACUUCACAUGUUUCCGCACGUAAUGCGUUUCAGGUCCAUAAACGGUCACGUUGGAAAUCUAAACAUAUUUUGUUUGCUAUGUUUUAUUAUCGCCCCUACUCGAAUGUUGUCUUCAUUGCGUUAUCAUGCGUCCGUAUGCCAUCACGGACAACGAUAAGAUCCCUAUAAUAAUCGUUUGUUUUUAUAAAACUUGAAAUGUGGCUGG